ACGUGGGUAACCUGCCUGUAAGACUGGGAUAACUCCGGGAAACCGGGGCUAAUACCGGAUGCUUGUUUGAACCGCAUGGUUCAAACAUAAAAGGUGGCUUCGGCUACCACUUACAGAUGGACCCGCGGCGCAUUAGCUAGUUGGUGAGGUAAUGGCUCACCAAGGCGACGAUGCGUAGCCGACCUGAGAGGGUGAUCGGCCACACUGGGACUGAGACACGGCCCAGACUCCUACGGGAGGCAGCAGUAGGGAAUCUUCCGCAAUGGACGAAAGUCUGACGGAGCAACGCCGCGUGAGUGAUGAAGGUUUUCGGAUCGUAAAGCUCUGUUGUUAGGGAAGAACAAGUACCGUUCGAAUAGGGCGGUACCUUGACGGUACCUAACCAGAAAGCCACGGCUAACUACGUGCCAGCAGCCGCGGUAAUACGUAGGUGGCAAGCGUUGUCCGGAAUUAUUGGGCGUAAAGGGCUCGCAGGCGGUUUCUUAAGUCUGAUGUGAAAGCCCCCGGCUCAACCGGGGAGGGUCAUUGGAAACUGGGGAACUUGAGUGCAGAAGAGGAGAGUGGAAUUCCACGUGUAGCGGUGAAAUGCGUAGAGAUGUGGAGGAACACCAGUGGCGAAGGCGACUCUCUGGUCUGUAACUGACGCUGAGGAGCGAAAGCGUGGGGAGCGAACAGGAUUAGAUACCCUGGUAGUCCACGCCGUAAACGAUGAGUGCUAAGUGUUAGGGGGUUUCCGCCCCUUAGUGCUGCAGCUAACGCAUUAAGCACUCCGCCUGGGGAGUACGGUCGCAAAGACUGAAACUCAAGGGAAUUGACG
Molecule: ribosomal RNA, 817 nt
Filed under: Bacillus spizizenii
Lineage: Bacteria; Bacillati; Bacillota; Bacilli; Caryophanales; Bacillaceae
Description: bacterial SSU rRNA
Rfam family: Bacterial small subunit ribosomal RNA
Source: RNAcentral